Antechinus flavipes (yellow-footed antechinus) is the source of this 807-nucleotide long non-coding RNA. RefSeq lists it as uncharacterized. NCBI's taxonomy places the organism in Eukaryota, Metazoa, Chordata, Mammalia, Dasyuromorphia, Dasyuridae. The transcript is spliced from 5 exons. The record is from RefSeq and is a predicted model, not a curated record.
GUGGCGCGGACACUCGAAGGCUCGAGCGGGCCUUUCUGUGGAGCCCGAGGGGAAAAAGCCGUUGGCUUCCCCCUCAGCCCGCAGUGGAGCUUGAGGGUAGCCCCGGCUCUCCUCCUCCUCUGAUUCCUCCGCGUGCUCUUCCUCCCCAGAAGCUAUCCCUGAGACCCCGGGACGGGGUAGCAGGAGGGAGAGCUCCGGAAGCCGGACCGGGAGCUCUGAGAAGAGAACGCGACCGGCGAGAAUGGUGGGCCCCGAGAACGUUGACAGGCCCAGCGGCUCCCGAAGCUGAGCCUGGAGGGGAAACUGCAGCUUAGGAAACCAGGGCGGACAGCCCCGAGCUGAAUCACCAAAACAUCGCAAAUCCACACCCAGAGCUUUGUCUUAUUCAACUUCUUUUGUGAUCUUUGAUGAAUUAGGGGUUUUGAAGAGAGGCUUGUAUUAACUUAUCUCAUCCAUCAGAAGGACAUUUGCCCUUCUCCAGUCCAGUGAUACUUCUAUUCUACAUGAUCUUUCAGAGUUCAAUGACAGUACCUCAACAAUCACAUCUACCAGUCCUUCUAAGCUCAUCUGAACUUGGUGACAUGAACACAUAGGGGCAGGAAAGAAAAGAAUGGAGGAAUUAAGGAAAGAUAUCAACAGAUGGUGUUUUUUGCACAGGAGUAUGUGAAUAUUCUACUCUAUUCCAGUGGAAAGGCCUACAAAAUCUAAAAGUUGUAAGUAGUAUAGCCAGAAUCAAACCAUGGUGAUGUAAAAGCAUUUUGAGUGACUUUCUUCUGUGAUAUAAAUUAAUCAUGUAUAAUCACCAAA